Molecule: small nuclear RNA, 125 nt
Organism: Cricetulus griseus (Chinese hamster)
Lineage: Eukaryota; Metazoa; Chordata; Mammalia; Rodentia; Cricetidae
Source: Ensembl
GUGAUGUAUGCAGGGAGAGAAAGAUAGAACUGCCCUUGACAAAAACAGAUAAGACCUUUGGGCCUAACAACAGGGCCUGUGGUUAAGGCAGUGCCAUGUAUUGUGGCAUCUGAUGACUGUUUUUA